Molecule: non-coding RNA, 323 nt
Organism: Chryseobacterium sp. T16E-39
Lineage: Bacteria; Pseudomonadati; Bacteroidota; Flavobacteriia; Flavobacteriales; Weeksellaceae
Source: Rfam
CGAGAAAGUCGGCUUGUUGAUCUCUGUUUCGGCAGAGGUAGGAAAGUCCGGACACCAUAGAGCAGCAAAGCGGAUAACACCCGUCACCCGUGAGGGUAGGACAAGUGCAACAGAAAGCAGGUACAGUUCGGCUGUAGUGAAACCAGGUAAACUCUUUGCGGUGCAAUGAUAAGUAUAUCGGUUCUUUUCAGAAAUGAAAAUAGGAGUUGCUCGCUCUGAAAGCCGAGGGGUAAUCAGCAAAAGUUUUGCAGCAAUGUAAUACGCAGAUAAAUAACAGGCACUUCUUUGAAGUACAAAAUCCGGCUUAUAGAUUUUCUCGUGAU